Molecule: long non-coding RNA, 1677 nt
Organism: Gorilla gorilla gorilla (western lowland gorilla)
Lineage: Eukaryota; Metazoa; Chordata; Mammalia; Primates; Hominidae
Exons: 3
Source: RefSeq, a predicted model, not a curated record
GUAGGGAGGGAUUAGAUCGUGAGGACUCCAACUUCAUGAAUAGAUUAGUGCCCUUAUAAAAGGGCCCAAAGGAACCAGCUAGCCCUUUUAUGCCUUUCCAUCUGUUUCACUGUGAGUACACAGUGUUCAUUUCCUCAAGAGGACACAACAAGGCACCAUCUUGGAAGCAGAGAGCGAGCCAUCACUGGACACCAAACCUGCAGGUGCCUUGAUCUUGGACUUCCCAGCCUCUAUAACUCAAAUAUACACUGGAAUUAGGAGUCUCGCACUUUACUGGCCCCUGCAGCUGCAGAGAUGACUGGUCACAUUCUCAUGGAUGAAGGUAACGGCAGAGUAGCGAGGGGCUGUGAACCCCCACUGGAGCUGACUGCCCGCCUAGAUCCUGACUCUGCCACUCUCAAGUCCCAUGAUGUGUCUCCAUGACUUCCUUUCCACAGGGAAAUGGACAAGCUGAUUCUAAAAUUCAUAUGGAACUGCAAGGGACACAGAAGAACCAAAGCAGUCUUGGACAAGAACAAUGUUAGAAGACUCACUUCUCCAUUUCAAAACUUACUAGAAAACUAUAGUAAUCAGCCAGGUGCGGUGGCUCACGCCUGUAAUCCCAGCACUUUGGGAGGCCAAGGUGGGCAGAUCACUUGAGGUCAGGAGUUUGAGACCAGCCUGGCCAACAUGGUGAAACCCCAUCUCAACUAAAAAGACAAAAAAAUUAGCUGGACAUGGUGGUGGGCACCUAUAAUCCCAGCUACUCAGGAGGCUGAGGCAGAAGAAUGGCGUGAACCCGGGAGGCAGAGGUUGCAGUGAGCCAAGAUCACACCAUUGCACUCCAGCCUGGGCAACAGAGCGAGACUCUGUCUCAAAAAAAAAAAAAAAAAAAAAAAAAAGUUCAUAACAGCACUAUAUUUACAACAGCCCAAAAAUGGAAACAACACAAAUGACCACCAACAGAUAAAUGGAUAAACAGAAUAAAGGAAUAUUAUUUAGCACCACAGAUAAUGAGGUGUUGAAUGAGGCUACAGCGCAGAUGAACCUGGAAACACUGUGCUAAGAGAAAGACACCUGACACAAAAGCCCACAUACUGUGUGAUUCCAGUUCUAUGAAAUGUCCAGAACAGGCAAAUCUACAGAGAGAAAGAUGCCAGACACAAAAGCCCACAUGCUGUGUGAUUCCAGUUCUAUGAAAUGUCCAGAACAGGCAAAUCUACGGAGAGAAAGAUGCCAGACACAAAAGCCCACAUGCUGUGUGAUUCCAGUUUUAUGAAAUGUCCAGAACAGGCAAAUCUACGGAGAGAAAGAUGCCAGACACAAAAGCCCACAUGCUGUGUGAUUCCAGUUCUAUGAAAUGUCCAGAACAGGCAAAUCUACGGAGAGAAAGAUGCCAGACACAAAAGCCCACAUGCUGUGUGAUUCCAGUUCUAUGAAAUGUCCAGAACAGGCAAAUCUACGGAGAGAAAGAUGCCAGACACAAAAGCCCACAUGCUGUGUGAUUCCAGUUCUAUGAAAUGUCCAGAACAGGCAAAUCUACGGAGAGAAAGAUGCCAGACACAAAAGCCCACAUGCUGUGUGAUUCCAGUUUUAUGAAAUGUCCAGAAUAGGCAAAUCUACGGAGAGAAAGAUGCCAGACACAAAAGCCCACAUGCUGUGUGAUUCCAGUUCUAUGAAAUGUCCAGAAUAGGCAAA